This 206-nucleotide long non-coding RNA is filed under the name Elaeis guineensis (African oil palm). RNAcentral's name for it is "long non-coding RNA (EGUI_LNC006055)". Lineage: Eukaryota; Viridiplantae; Streptophyta; Magnoliopsida; Arecales; Arecaceae. The record is from RNAcentral.
UCCUGUGCUAGGGAUUCAAAAUUUUCUAUUGAAUGUUUAUCAAUAAGAAGAUACUAACAUCGCGAUUUUAUAGAAAAGAUAUAUCGUAUUUUUUUUAUUCAAUCUAAUUUUAUCAGUCAAGUCUUUUGGGUUCGUUGCUUUGCACCUCGAUCGGAGCCACAGACUCGCUAGCGAAUUCCAUGAAUAAAGAUGGUUGAGGGCUGCAA